GGGGCGAUGGGGCCCAAAUCAUGCUGCAGAUCCCAUUAUAACCAGAGUAUAUUCAUUCUAUUGGAGAAUCACCCAGGCAUUUUCAGAGCCAAGAUUUCACCCCCCUUUCUUUCAAGUAUGCACUUCAUGAUUCAAAACAGCAUUGUUCAGGAUUUCAUAAACUUUUUCAGAAGCUCCAAGGCAGGUGUUAAAUUUUCAGAUUCCCAGACAUCUCUCCUAGAGAUUGUCCAGAUGGAAAAGGGAUAGCAGUGGAAAUAGAAUCAUGCACCCUGUUUCUGGGAAACACAUCUUACAAUUUGUUGCAAUAAAAAGGAAAGACUGUGGAGAAUGGGCAAUCCCAGGGGGGAUGGUGGAUCCAGGAGAGAAGAUUAGUGCCACACUGAAAAGAGAAUUUGGUGAGGAAGCUCUCAACUCCUUACAGAAAACCAGUGCUGAAAAGAGAGAAAUAGAGGAAAAGUUGCACAAACUCUUCAGCCAAGACCACCUAGUGAUAUAUAAGGGAUAUGUUGAUGAUCCUCGAAACACUGAUAAUGCAUGGCUGGAGACAGAAGCUGUGAACUACCAUGACGAAACAGG
RNAcentral lists this small RNA (576 nucleotides) under Pongo abelii (Sumatran orangutan). RNAcentral describes it as "processed transcript". Lineage: Eukaryota; Metazoa; Chordata; Mammalia; Primates; Hominidae. The record is from RNAcentral.